AUGGAGAUGUUACAGCAACAGAAGCUCCAGCUGCCUGUGACCCGUGGAGAUGUAAAACCUCAGAACGUGGAAGUAUCGCUGCAGCCAGCCUGUCUGUGUCUGUGUCCCAGCAGCAGCACGAGGAUGCCUUUGGAUGCCUGGCACAGCUGGGAUGCUGGGAAGGCUCACGAUGUCCAUUAUUUCCAGCCCCUGACCUGGGACAUUCGGACCUCCCUUGGUAUUUCAGAUGACCACAUCUUGCUAAGUUUGAUUUCUUCAGUCCUCAGACAGAUCUGCAUGAGUGAGCGACAGGAUGUGAUUCAGUCACAGGAACUGAAUUUUUCCAGAGCUUCAGAUAUUCAGGCCAUGUCUGUUGGUGUCACCAACCAGCAGCACAGGCAAGGGAUACCAGAAGAUAAAGUAUUGCCACCUCUCACUGUGGACAUUUAUGAGAGAGCAGAUUUUCAACGUGAAAACCCUCUGUGGUACAGACCAGCUUUUCUCAACAGCUUUGUCAGUAGUGCCUGCUGCUCAUGCUAGGGUUUGCACUCUGUCAGUAAUGGGGGGAAACAGUGACACACACUUUACUUCUUUGCCUACAGCAAGUGGAAAAUACUUAUAUUUAGCACAGUAAAAAUCAUCUGUCUGCUGAGCACAGAUUUCAGAAAUUACAUCACAAAAUAACAAAUUUUCCACGGGGAGAGAGGGCACCACACUUUUACAUCUCCCCUUUUUGGUUCUGAUGCUAUUAUAUGAAGAAAGGUCUCCACAAACCAGCUGUAGGAUAUGAGAGCAUGAUGCUGACAUGCUCUCCUCAGCUUUAGUCUUCACCUGCAAUCUAAACCCAGACACUCAGCACAACAACAGUAACUUCUUCAAGGCUUUAGUAAAUUUACAAGUGCCAGGUACUUGCAGGGGCAUUUGAAUAUUUUACAAACUUCUUUACGUAACUCUUUCUACACUGAGAACUCACCAAUUGCCCCCCACACUCUUGGCACUCCCACAAGUAAUUCCUUGGAAGAGCUGAAGUUAAUGAGUGUCCAAAGAGAUGGGGGGGAAAUGCAGCACUUGCAACAAGUUGCUGCUGUUCCCCAUCCCUCCGUGGCUCUGCUCUAGAUCCGCUUUUGACACAGCCUGGCAAACCCCGAGUGGGAAAUGCUGCUUUGGGAGAAGGAGGAACUGUCACAGCAAUUGCAUGGAGAAUGCCGAGAAUCUAAGUAAGGCAAGCUGGAGUGGAAUGGGAAUUUGGAAAACGUGUAUCUACAAACUGGGGUGAGCCCAAAAGUUCCCAAAAUUAAAUACUGGACAAUUUUUUUCCUAUAGUUAAUGAAAGAUCAUGACAGCAAUACAGAGGCCUAUGAAAAAAGAGAAGACAUUUCUCCAGACCUCAUAUUUGUUAACAAGAGCAUUAACACAACAGAGCCAGUCUUACAUGAUUAAAUUAUCACUUGAUGAUAAUUUAUAACACUGGCCUAAGAAAAGUACAGAGAAGCUACUAAAAUUAUAUUGCAAUAAGAAAUAUACAUUUUACCAAAAAUUC
RNAcentral lists this long non-coding RNA (1519 nucleotides) under Cyanistes caeruleus (blue tit). Its description in RNAcentral is "lncRNA (ENSCCEG00000011343.1)". Lineage: Eukaryota; Metazoa; Chordata; Aves; Passeriformes; Paridae. The record is from RNAcentral.